UAUAGUAAGCUUUAUUGCACAGAUGUUC
This 28-nucleotide non-coding RNA is filed under the name Bombyx mori (domestic silkworm). RNAcentral also lists the same sequence under 1 other name. Lineage: Eukaryota; Metazoa; Arthropoda; Insecta; Lepidoptera; Bombycidae. The record is from RNAcentral.